Molecule: long non-coding RNA, 417 nt
Organism: Carya illinoinensis
Lineage: Eukaryota; Viridiplantae; Streptophyta; Magnoliopsida; Fagales; Juglandaceae
Exons: 2
Source: RefSeq, a predicted model, not a curated record
UUGUUUAAUCUCUCAUCUCUCUGUUGUUUGUAGCCACCGCGACCAGUAGAGGACAACGGGGCCAACCGUAUAGCCUUACGCCACCAAACCACCUGCUGCAUGCAGCACCACCACCUGGCCCCAUCGUCACUGUCGUACCGAUUAGUAGACGUAUUUGAUAGCCCCUGUCAGACUGCCAGUUCUCUCUGCACGAUCCCACGGAGCACCAUUUCCUUAGACCUUACUCCUUUAUCUGUAUGCUGAUAUGUCUUUUUUCUUUAUAAAAAUUUUAUAUUGGUAUUAAUCAUAUUAUAUAUAUAUAUAUAUUACAUAUAUUAAUUGUGUAUGGUUGUAUAUACUGAUUUAAGUUGUUGUUUUUAUAGCAUUAUGUGUAUUAAUAAAUUGUUUGAUUUUCAAUUUUAGAUUGUUUGAUUUUAA